RNAcentral lists this ribosomal RNA (253 nucleotides) under uncultured bacterium. RNAcentral's name for it is "partial 16S ribosomal RNA". It matches the Rfam family "Bacterial small subunit ribosomal RNA", at positions 524 to 776 of the family's 1533-position model. The record is from RNAcentral.
UACGUAGGGCGCAAGCGUUGUCCGGAAUUAUUGGGCGUAAAGAGCUCGUAGGCGGCUUGUCACGUCGGAUGUGAAAGCCCGGGGCUUAACCCCGGGUCUGCAUUCGAUACGGGCUAGCUAGAGUGUGGUAGGGGAGAUCGGAAUUCCUGGUGUAGCGGUGAAAUGCGCAGAUAUCAGGAAGAACACCCGUGGCUAAGGCGGCUCUCUAGUACGGUACUGACGCUGAGACGCGAAAGCGUGGGGAGCGAACAGG